RNAcentral lists this long non-coding RNA (223 nucleotides) under Phoenix dactylifera (date palm). Its description in RNAcentral is "long non-coding RNA (PDAC_LNC003576)". Lineage: Eukaryota; Viridiplantae; Streptophyta; Magnoliopsida; Arecales; Arecaceae. The record is from RNAcentral.
UGAUAGCCAGUAAGGAGAAUUGCCAAAUCCUGAUCUUCAUCUGCAAUGCAGUGCACAUCACAAAGAAUUAAUACCAACUUAAGUUGAGAGGCUGGAAGACCAAUAAAGAACUGAAAAUAAGCACUUCAACAUGGCUGGAUUCACUCCAACAAAGAGCAAUGUAUCUGCCAAGUGUUGCCAUCUCAUGUAGAAGGAAGAGGAAAGAAGCCAAGCAGGAAAAAAA